UUAAGCGACUAAGCGUACACGGUGGAUGCCCUGGCAGUCAGAGGCGAUGAAGGACGUGCUAAUCUGCGAUAAGCGUCGGUAAGGUGAUAUGAACCGUUAUAACCGGCGAUUUCCGAAUGGGGAAACCCAGUGUGUUUCGACACACUAUCAUUAACUGAAUCCAUAGGUUAAUGAGGCGAACCGGGGGAACUGAAACAUCUAAGUACCCCGAGGAAAAGAAAUCAACCGAGAUUCCCCCAGUAGCGGCGAGCGAACGGGGAGCAGCCCAGAGCCUGAAUCAGUGUGUGUGUUAGUGGAAGCGUCUGGAAAGGCGCGCGAUACAGGGUGACAGCCCCGUACACAAAAAUGCACAUACUGUGAGCUCGAUGAGUAGGGCGGGACACGUGGUAUCCUGUCUGAAUAUGGGGGGACCAUCCUCCAAGGCUAAAUACUCCUGACUGACCGAUAGUGAACCAGUACCGUGAGGGAAAGGCGAAAAGAACCCCGGCGAGGGGAGUGAAAAAGAACCUGAAACCGUGUACGUACAAGCAGUGGGAGCACGCUUCGGCGUGUGACUGCGUACCUUUUGUAUAAUGGGUCAGCGACUUAUAUUCUGUAGCAAGGUUAACCGAAUAGGGGAGCCGAAGGGAAACCGAGUCUUAACUGGGCGUUAAGUUGCAGGGUAUAGACCCGAAACCCGGUGAUCUAGCCAUGGGCAGGUUGAAGGUUGGGUAACACUAACUGGAGGACCGAACCGACUAAUGUUGAAAAAUUAGCGGAUGACUUGUGGCUGGGGGUGAAAGGCCAAUCAAACCGGGAGAUAGCUGGUUCUCCCCGAAAGCUAUUUAGGUAGCGCCUCGUGAAUUCAUCUCCGGGGGUAGAGCACUGUUUCGGCAAGGGGGUCAUCCCGACUUACCAACCCGAUGCAAACUGCGAAUACCGGAGAAUGUUAUCACGGGAGACACACGGCGGGUGCUAACGUCCGUCGUGAAGAGGGAAACAACCCAGACCGCCAGCUAAGGUCCCAAAGUCAUGGUUAAGUGGGAAACGAUGUGGGAAGGCCCAGACAGCCAGGAUGUUGGCUUAGAAGCAGCCAUCAUUUAAAGAAAGCGUAAUAGCUCACUGGUCGAGUCGGCCUGCGCGGAAGAUGUAACGGGGCUAAACCAUGCACCGAAGCUGCGGCAGCGACACUAUGUGUUGUUGGGUAGGGGAGCGUUCUGUAAGCCUGUGAAGGUGUGCUGUGAGGCAUGCUGGAGGUAUCAGAAGUGCGAAUGCUGACAUAAGUAACGAUAAAGCGGGUGAAAAGCCCGCUCGCCGGAAGACCAAGGGUUCCUGUCCAACGUUAAUCGGGGCAGGGUGAGUCGACCCCUAAGGCGAGGCCGAAAGGCGUAGUCGAUGGGAAACAGGUUAAUAUUCCUGUACUUGGUGUUACUGCGAAGGGGGGACGGAGAAGGCUAUGUUGGCCGGGCGACGGUUGUCCCGGUUUAAGCGUGUAGGCUGGUUUUCCAGGCAAAUCCGGAAAAUCAAGGCUGAGGCGUGAUGACGAGGCACUACGGUGCUGAAGCAACAAAUGCCCUGCUUCCAGGAAAAGCCUCUAAGCAUCAGGUAACAUUAAAUCGUACCCCAAACCGACACAGGUGGUCAGGUAGAGAAUACCAAGGCGCUUGAGAGAACUCGGGUGAAGGAACUAGGCAAAAUGGUGCCGUAACUUCGGGAGAAGGCACGCUGAUAUGUAGGUGAAGUCCCUCGCGGAUGGAGCUGAAAUCAGUCGAAGAUACCAGCUGGCUGCAACUGUUUAUUAAAAACACAGCACUGUGCAAACACGAAAGUGGACGUAUACGGUGUGACGCCUGCCCGGUGCCGGAAGGUUAAUUGAUGGGGUUAGCGGUAACGCGAAGCUCUUGAUCGAAGCCCCGGUAAACGGCGGCCGUAACUAUAACGGUCCUAAGGUAGCGAAAUUCCUUGUCGGGUAAGUUCCGACCUGCACGAAUGGCGUAAUGAUGGCCAGGCUGUCUCCACCCGAGACUCAGUGAAAUUGAACUCGCUGUGAAGAUGCAGUGUACCCGCGGCAAGACGGAAAGACCCCGUGAACCUUUACUAUAGCUUGACACUGAACAUUGAGCCUUGAUGUGUAGGAUAGGUGGGAGGCUUUGAAGUGUGGACGCCAGUCUGCAUGGAGCCGACCUUGAAAUACCACCCUUUAAUGUUUGAUGUUCUAACGUUGACCCGUAAUCCGGGUUGCGGACAGUGUCUGGUGGGUAGUUUGACUGGGGCGGUCUCCUCCUAAAGAGUAACGGAGGAGCACGAAGGUUGGCUAAUCCUGGUCGGACAUCAGGAGGUUAGUGCAAUGGCAUAAGCCAGCUUGACUGCGAGCGUGACGGCGCGAGCAGGUGCGAAAGCAGGUCAUAGUGAUCCGGUGGUUCUGAAUGGAAGGGCCAUCGCUCAACGGAUAAAAGGUACUCCGGGGAUAACAGGCUGAUACCGCCCAAGAGUUCAUAUCGACGGCGGUGUUUGGCACCUCGAUGUCGGCUCAUCACAUCCUGGGGCUGAAGUAGGUCCCAAGGGUAUGGCUGUUCGCCAUUUAAAGUGGUACGCGAGCUGGGUUUAGAACGUCGUGAGACAGUUCGGUCCCUAUCUGCCGUGGGCGCUGGAGAACUGAGGGGGGCUGCUCCUAGUACGAGAGGACCGGAGUGGACGCAUCACUGGUGUUCGGGUUGUCAUGCCAAUGGCACUGCCCGGUAGCUAAAUGCGGAAGAGAUAAGUGCUGAAAGCAUCUAAGCACGAAACUUGCCCCGAGAUGAGUUCUCCCUGACUCCUUGAGAGUCCUGAAGGAACGUUGAAGACGACGACGUUGAUAGGCCGGGUGUGUAAGCGCAGCGAUGCGUUGAGCUAACCGGUACUAAUGAACCGUGAGGCUUAACCUU
RNAcentral lists this ribosomal RNA (2903 nucleotides) under Escherichia coli. RNAcentral's name for it is "bacterial LSU rRNA". It matches the Rfam family "Bacterial large subunit ribosomal RNA". The record is from RNAcentral. Lineage: Bacteria; Pseudomonadati; Pseudomonadota; Gammaproteobacteria; Enterobacterales; Enterobacteriaceae.